This 253-nucleotide ribosomal RNA is filed under the name uncultured bacterium. RNAcentral's name for it is "partial 16S ribosomal RNA". It matches the Rfam family "Bacterial small subunit ribosomal RNA", at positions 524 to 776 of the family's 1533-position model. The record is from RNAcentral.
UACGUAGGGUGCGAGCGUUGUCCGGAAUUAUUGGGCGUAAAGAGCUCGUAGGCGGUCUGUCGCGUCGGCUGUGAAAUCCCGAGGCUCAACCUCGGGUCUGCAGUCGAUACGGGCAAACUAGAGUAUUGCAGGGGAGACUGGAAUUCCUGGUGUAGCGGUGAAAUGCGCAGAUAUCAGGAGGAACACCGGUGGCGAAGGCGGGUCUCUGGGCAAUAACUGACGCUGAGGAGCGAAAGCGUGGGGAGCGAAUAGG